RNAcentral lists this unclassified non-coding RNA (222 nucleotides) under Hevea brasiliensis (rubber tree). Lineage: Eukaryota; Viridiplantae; Streptophyta; Magnoliopsida; Malpighiales; Euphorbiaceae. The record is from RNAcentral.
GAGAGGAGCAACCCAACACCGAUAUCAUCACUCUCACCCGCCAUGUCCUUGCGGACCAGUUCAGCCUCGGGGCCAUCGCGACUGGAGACCUUACACUGUUGUUGACUGCCAUCCAGACGACGUCGAAGUUCAUCGCGACCAAUGUCCGAAAAGCGCGCCUGAUCAACCUCGUUGGCCUUGCGGGCGAGACGAAUGUGCAAGGCGAGGAGCAGAAGAAGCUGG